GACGAACGCUGGCGGCGUGCUUAACACAUGCAAGUCGAACGGAAAGGCCCUGCUUUUGUGGGGUGCUCGAGUUGCGAACGGGUGAGUAACACGUGAGUAACCUGCCCUUGACUUUGGGAUAACUUCAGGAAACUUGGGCUAAUACCGGAUAGGAGCUCCUGCUGCAUGGUGGGGGUUGGAAAGUUUCGGCGGUUGGGGAUGGACUCGCGGCUUAUAAGCUUGUUGGUUGGGUAGUGGCUUACCAAGGCUUUGACGGGUAGCCGUCCUGAGAGGGUGACCGGACACAUAGGGACUGAGAUACGGCCCAGACUAGUACGGGAGGCAGAGGUGGGGAAGAUUGCACAAGGGGCGGAAGCCUGAUGCAGCAAAGCAGCGGGGGGGAUGACGGCAUUCGGGUUGUAAACCGCUUUCGCCUGUGACGAAGCGUGAGUGACGGUAAUGGGUAAAGAAGCACCGGCUAACUACGUG
RNAcentral lists this ribosomal RNA (468 nucleotides) under uncultured bacterium. Its description in RNAcentral is "partial 16S ribosomal RNA". It matches the Rfam family "Bacterial small subunit ribosomal RNA", at positions 28 to 507 of the family's 1533-position model. The record is from RNAcentral.